AGCCAUUCCAGUUAAAGCAAGUUGACCCGGCACAGUCCAAAAUCCGUGCUAUGCAGCACAGUCCAAAAUCCGUGCUAUGCAGCACAGUCCAAAAUCCGUGCUAUGCAGCACAGUCCAAAAUCCGUGCUACCCAGCACAGUCCAAAAUCCGUGCAGAGCUCGUGGCACAGAGGAAAAUGGACAUAAGGUAGCGGUAACAGGCUGGCGACUGUGGCUUUUACACAUUGCUUCACACAACCCUGUCCAGGAGUUUUACACACUCACUAAACAAAUAGAAGGCACCAUCCAAUUCACUGGAGCCCCGUUGGAUAAAUACGGAAAGAAUGUGGGAGCUAUGUCAUGAACCACAAUGGUUUUGUGUUCUGUGUAAUUUGAAGACGAGAUUCCUUUGCUGUGUGUCACCUCCCAUAUUACCACUGUCGCCCAACAUUUCAUAACCAUCAACUCUUUGCCAGUGCCCACAUGCAAAGAUGGGUUUGUAUUAAAAAAUAAAUGAGAACAGCACAUUCUGAUGUGGUGUAGUAUAUCAGCAUUUUCCAUGAAGCCUCGUCGCCGGCCUUCCCCUUUUAGGAAACAAAGGACCCGUGACAGAGCCUACUUAUCCCGUUACAGCUCCUGGUGAGAAGGGCAAAGCGAUGUCAGAAAUAAUAGAAAAGGCUUUUUCCUUUGAAAUAUCUAAAUGUUCAAAGAUGGGAACAGCCGCAGGGGGGAGAAUACUGUGCUAUGCAAGUUGAUCUGAUUUUGUGGACCAUCCAUUUCCAAUUGGGAAGCUCACUUACUUUCAACUUGAAGCAUCAGAAAACCAGACUUACAGCAGCUUCAGCCUAUAGGGGUUUAUUUUUCUCAUGUAACAAGAAGAACAGAAGUGGACAGAGGCCGAGUUCUCAAGGACUCAGUUUCUUUCUGUCCCAUCAACCUUACCAUGUUGGAUUGUCAUCUUUGCGCUUGUUGCCUCAUGGUGGCAAGAUGGCUGCAGCACCUCUGGGACUCACGACUGAUUUUUAAGACUACAGAGCCUAAGUCAAAGCUUAUUCUUGGACCCAGGAAAUAUGUCAAAUCCUUCCAGUGAAUGGUGCCUUUCAGGAUUGGAGACUACUCCCCCAGUUGCUGAUGGUGUGGUCAGCCUUCAGUUGUCAGUCCUCUUUGGGAAUUGCCUUGGAUGAAGAAAGUCACCUCACCCAAGAUCACUCCAACUCCUGGGACCCACAUCCAAUGAUUGGCCAAUAUGGGGACUCAAAGGCCUGGUCCCCCUUCCCCAACUUGAGACUACUCUGAAGGAUCACCCAGCUUCAGAGCUUCCCAUGGUUGAGACUUUUAGACUUCACUGUGGUCCAACCAACCUCUUCCUAUACACGGUCCUGACUCCUUCACUUCCCUCCCAGCACUUCUUCUGUGUUAAUAUCAAACUUCUGUGCUAAUAACAAACUUCUUCCGUGCUAAUA
Long non-coding RNA from Pan troglodytes (chimpanzee), 1441 nucleotides. RefSeq lists it as uncharacterized. The record is from RefSeq and is a predicted model, not a curated record. Lineage: Eukaryota; Metazoa; Chordata; Mammalia; Primates; Hominidae. The transcript is spliced from 4 exons.